RNAcentral lists this ribosomal RNA (392 nucleotides) under uncultured Microsporidia. RNAcentral describes it as "SSU rRNA". It matches the Rfam family "Microsporidia small subunit ribosomal RNA", at positions 1 to 405 of the family's 1311-position model. The record is from RNAcentral. Lineage: Eukaryota; Fungi; Microsporidia.
CACCAGGUUGAUUCUGCCUGACGUAGAUGCUAGUCUCUAAGAUUAAGCCAUGCAUGUUUAUGUAAUAAGGACGAACAGCUCAGUAGAACUACGAUUAUUUAGUCUGUUUGAUAAAGAUAACUACGUGAAAAUGUAGCUAAGAGAGAACAGAAUAAGACGUAGGACUAUCAGUUAGUUGGUAGUGUAAUGGACUACCAAGACGAUGACGGGUAACGGGGAAUCAGGGUUUGAUACCGGAGAGGGAGCCUGAGAGAUAGCUCCCACGUCCAUGGACGGCAGCAGGCGCGAAAAUUGCCCGCCCUUUGUAGGAGGCAGUUAUGAGACGUGAAGUAGAAUAUUUCGUAAAGACGAAUAGGAGAAUUGGAGGGCAAGUUUGGUGCCAGCAGCCGCGG